GUUAAACCCUCAAAUUUCAAUAUUCCUCGCCUUUGUUUCGAGUUCUCUCACCUCUUGUACGGCCGUCCCUAAUAAACCCGAUUGUUUUCCCAAACCCAGAACAAUCAUCUUACUCCUUUUUCUUUGACACAUGAAUUAAUUUGAAAAUCCAGUACAAAACGUUAUUCAAUACUUCAUACUGUUUAUCUUCCUUAACUUUCUGCACAAUCUUUGACAAGGGUAUUUCCUCAGCGCUUCAAUUACACAAUCCAAGUGUCCAAAAAAAUGGGGACUCGAAAAGUGUAUGAGCAGAAACUUCGAACUGGAAAUAUGUAUGAUUAUGAUCCCACCAUCAAUCCUGGUCUUGGAACACCUCGUUGUCCCCGUUGUCUCUCGUUACUCGAGUCAGAUUCUGAAAACGGGGAAUGGACUAUUACUUCUGUGUUACACGAUGCCACUGCUGUGGCUGGCACUGGAUUUGGAUCAAUGCUAAGUGUUACUCAUGCUUUUAAUACUGGGAUACCUUUUGUUCAGAAGCAUGUUAAAGGACCCAAGUGGCUUCCAUUUGUUGUUGGGCUUCCACCCUUACUAAUAUCUUCAGCUGCAUGUGCUGCAUUUGGUGGCUAUGCUCUUCCUAAAUUCACUCAGCUUACUGUGACAUCAUAUUAUGCUGCUUCAAAUGCUGCACAUUACGGGAUCUCUUUACUCACAAGACACAUCGAAGAGGCACAUAUUUCAACUUCUCGGCAGGAAAAGCCCUCAUGAUGAUGCGUAUAAAAUGUAGCAGACAACAGAUUGCUGCUUUGCAUGUACCAGAUGUGUGGGGUAGUCUCCUCAAUAAACCUUCAGCUGACAAACAUACUAGGGGCUAUUUUGUUUCAAAAAUAACACAUUAGAGUGUUGCAACAGAGCAGAAUUGUAACCACACAGGAUGAUUAGGCUGGACCGAGAUAUGCUUGUAUUGUUAGGAGUCAAGUCAUGUAAUAUCUUCUUGGACCGAGUAAUCUGUUAUGGAAUUGGGACCGGAUGAGUUUGUCUGGGUAAAUAAAAGUGAUUUGCUAGUUUGGAGAAUCACCACUAUGUGGAGGAAUUUAUAGGGGAGGGUUUUAGGAUUUAUUUUUUUAUUUUUUUAUAAUUAUUGUUGUCUUUUUAUGAUGAUUUACAAAUUACGGUGAUUGAUUAAAAUUUUCUAGAGACAGGUGGCGAUGGUUCAGACAGUCUAAACACCCAUGUCAUAAUUCAUUUAUAUAUGGACCGAUUUGUAAUAAUUCAUUUAUUUAAUUGAGAAGGAGAAAAAAGGUCUAUGUUAGAGGAUAUGUCAAUUCAUGCUUGUGUAAUAAAGGUUGACAAUCCACUAAUAUUCAACAUCCAUUUAAUUUGCUUCUUUUUCUUUGGGGAGUUUAGCAUCAUUCUAUCUAACCUAGAAAUAAUUAUAUUCAAUGUGAGAAUUAGGUCUUAUCUGAAUUGGCUGUCUAAGUUGGAGUAAGUAUCUUUUUCAUGUAAUAUUUUAGAAUCGAUUCUUACCCAACAUAGGAGUAUAGGCAAAUACCACUUUCCUCAGUUGGAGCAAGUAUAAUAAUGUAAUAUAAUUAACAUUAUACAUAUACUAAUAACUAAAAGAAAUAUUAACUGUCAAUCUAUAAUAGAGAUAUAGGCAUUUUAAUUUCAUUUUCUUCAAUAUAGUCUAUAAUCAAAUUAAUCAUUACGGCUUUUUGUUACUCAAACUCUUUACUCUACCUCAAUUAUUCGAAUAAAACCAUUACACUUAGACAUGAAUAAGACACUUAGACAUUCCAAACUGUAUCUAAAUCUUGGGAAAAUAACCAAACGAAUCCCUAUUAGACACGAGUACUUAGCUAACAUAGACCAGAAUAGAUUGUGUUAUCUGAGCACCUAUGGCUAUUGGCUAAUGGGCAGUACAAAGUGUACUUGAUCUAGAUUAGAGAUGGGUAUCACUUUAGAUUCACUAGAGACACUCUUGUGCAGAAAAACUAAAAUAGAUACUCUUCUAUAGCUUUGAUUUAGCACUAAAAAGAAAGUUAACGUUUUUAAGAAAAUGUGGAUAGUCAAUCUAGGAUUCCGCACAAGUCAGGGUCUGAUGGAGAGAAGGAUAGUACGCAAAUUAUACCCGUGCAAGGAGAAACCGGCGCAUUUAGAUUAUCUCCAAAAGAUAAAUUCCUGCAAAGAGCAGGGUGAGUGAAACACAACGCGCUUGAAAAAGUAAGCAAAUGAAGAGAAAGAUUAAGUUGUGUCAUGAAACUGAAUGAAAGUUUGAUUAUAUAGAUGAGAUUAUAAGAAAAUUGAUAGGUUUAUUUCCAAAAAAAGAAAUAAUCCAAAAUAAAAAGAAUAAUACAAAAUAAAAAAUGAUGUUAAAUAGAAGAGAUGUGUAAAUUGUACCAGUAAAAGUUAAAAACAGAAUAUAACGAUGAAUCAAAAGUGGGGCCAAAGGUAACAUGUGAAGGUUAGAGUAAGAUCUAUGUAUAGAGUAGAUUGCUUGAAGUUGAUGGCAGAAAGUUACCCAAAGAAGAGUCAGAACCAUUAGAAAGGACACUGUUGAUCUAUCAAUAUGGUCUACUAAUUUGGUGGCAUUUAUUGAUCAGUGAAUGCCUGAAUGCCAUAUUCAGUGUCAGUCUCCAUUCGUAAAUUCUUAAAGUGAUUUGUAAAUUACUAUAAAAAAAACAAAAUGAAUAAUAAUAAAAUAAAUAAAAUCAAAAAAGAUAAAUUAAAACAAUAAAACUCUCACCCUAUCAUAUCUUAACAUAUAAGGGUGAUUUAUUAACUUCACAAAUAACCGUUAUUUACUAAGACUUUCUCGUUAAAAGAAGAGUUUAGAAUUUAGUGAUAGGGUGAUAUUCAAUUUGCAUUAAAUUUUAUUUUGAAUUGUGCUACUUAUUUUACAUUAUACCUUAUUUAGAAAUGGAUUCGCAAUCUUUUAAAAUAAUCUAGUAUAUGUUUUAAUUAUUUUUUUAAUUUUAUCUAUAUAAUAUCUUCUCGUUUGAUUAAUUUAAAAGGAUGGAUUAGUACAAUAGGACUAGGGGGAGAUGAUCUUGAUAGUGAUGCCAUUAAGCAGUGACAUUGUAACAUGAUUUAGCUAUACUUUCUAUUUGUAUGUUUCUUUGGUUUUACAAUAUUUCUUUCAUGGAUUUUUUUUUUAAUUCAUCCACAUAUUUUUUCUUUUUCUAAUUAUUAUAUUCUCACAAUUUCAUUUUUUUUUUUCUAAUUUU
This is an RNA transcript of Amaranthus tricolor (Joseph's coat), 3203 nucleotides long. RefSeq lists it as uncharacterized. NCBI's taxonomy places the organism in Eukaryota, Viridiplantae, Streptophyta, Magnoliopsida, Caryophyllales, Amaranthaceae. The transcript has 7 exons. The record is from RefSeq and is a predicted model, not a curated record.